This 811-nucleotide ribosomal RNA is filed under the name Plectosphaerella cucumerina. RNAcentral describes it as "partial large subunit ribosomal RNA". It matches the Rfam family "Eukaryotic large subunit ribosomal RNA", at positions 74 to 909 of the family's 3401-position model. The record is from RNAcentral. Lineage: Eukaryota; Fungi; Ascomycota; Sordariomycetes; Glomerellales; Plectosphaerellaceae.
AUUGCCUCAGUAACGGCGAGUGAAGCGGCAACAGCUCAAAUUUGAAAUCUGGCUCCUUCGGGGCCCGAGUUGUAAUUUGCAGAGGAUGCGUCGGGUACGGGUGCCUUCCGAGUUCCCUGGAACGGGACGCCAUAGAGGGUGAGAGCCCCGUCUGGUAGGACACCCAGCCCGUGUGACGCUCCCUCGACGAGUCGAGUAGUUUGGGAAUGCUGCUCUAACGGGAGGUAUACUCCUUCCAAGGCUAAAUACCGGCUGGAGACCGAUAGCGCACAAGUAGAGUGAUCGAAAGAUGAAAAGCACUUUGAAAAGAGAGUCAAACAGCACGUGAAAUUGUUAAAAGGGAAGCGCUCGCUACCAGACUUGGGUUCGGCGGUUCAACCGGGGCCACGCCCCGGGGCAUUCCGCCGGCCCAGGCCAGCAUCAGCUUUCCGUCGGGGGUAAAGGCGUCGGGAAUGUGGCUCCCCUUCGGGGGAGUGUUAUAGCCCGUCGUGUCAUACCCUUCGGGGGGCUGAGGUACGCGCUUCUGCAAGGAUGCUGGCGUAAUGGUAGCUAGUGACCCGUCUUGAAACACGGACCAAGGAGUCAACCUUAUGUGCGAGUGCCCGGGCGUAAAACCCCAGCGCGGAAUGAAAGUGAACGUAGGUGAGAGCUUCGGCGCAUCACCGACCGAUCCUGAUGUCCUCGGACGGAUUUGAGUGAGAGCAUAUAGGGUUGGACCCGAAAGAAGAUGAACUAUGCGUGUGUAGGGUGAAGCCAGAGGAAACUCUGGUGGAGGCUCGCAGCGGUUCUGACGUGCAAAUCGAUCGUCAAA